Pygocentrus nattereri (red-bellied piranha) is the source of this 663-nucleotide long non-coding RNA. RefSeq lists it as uncharacterized. Lineage: Eukaryota; Metazoa; Chordata; Actinopteri; Characiformes; Serrasalmidae. The record is from RefSeq and is a predicted model, not a curated record. The transcript is spliced from 5 exons.
AUAAUGGACCUGUUUGGUUUGGGCCCAUACGGGAUGCACAUGAUCCAACAAAUCAGGAAGACGCUCGGGAGCAGGUGUGGAAAAUAAUGAUUGGAAGAUAACAACAGUGUGAAAGUCUAGUACUUACUCACCAAGGAGUUGCCUGUGGGACAGCGCUAAAGAGGCAUUUGUGCUUUAUGGAAAUAAAGGACCCCUCCUUUCUUCUAUCGUGAAACCCCCCAGUCACAGACAGCAUCAGACAGAUGAGGAGGCCAAGUGUCUACUGGAGACCACCGCUUAGCCACUCCACUUCACGCUAAGAAAGGAAAGACCCUGCCCUCUCCUGAACCCUCCUGACCUUCUCUGGCCCUGCACACACUGGCGUGAUCAUUCUCAGACCAGACCAGAGCACUGUGUGGACAGAACCAUGGCCUAGUCUUUGGCCUUAAAUCUCUCUGAAGCAGAAGGAGAGUUGUGUUAUGGUGGCUUUGGGUCAGCGCCAGUUCACAUAUAUGUCUGAAGCUUUGAUUAGUGACGGCCACUCAGCCGGCUGAGAAGGGUUUCUCUGAAUAAUUCCUCACAUCAAAGCUCUUCGGCUAUUCCCAGUUAUAGGGUUGGAAGUUAGGUUUGACCAUAGAGUGCCAUUUUCUUGUCAGCUACAUGUCCUUUCAGACUCAUAGUGUU